GCGGGCUCAGGCGCGCGCGGGGGAAUGGGCUGGUUCGGCCCAAUUCGGCCGGGCCGGUCCGUUUCUUCCCUUUUUUUUCUUUUAGCCUUUUCUAUUUUUCUUUUUCUGAUUUCUUUGAUAUCUUUUGAUUUUGAACUCCAAACUGGUCCAAAUAAAUUUCAGAAAAUUUGUAAAAUCAUGUUUUAUCAUGAUUCAACUUUUGGGAGUAAUUUCCCCUCAAAAUAAAUUAUAUAAAAAUAUACUUGCCCUAUAAAUGCCUUUAGGGCUAUAUAACUAUUUAAAUAAAAUAGUUUUUUAACUCCAAAUAAAUAUCCAAAAAUUAUGGGAUAGCUUAUUUAUGCAAUAAACCCCUUUUGUAGUUAAACCCUAGUGGUUUAA
This 378-nucleotide long non-coding RNA is filed under the name Brachypodium distachyon (stiff brome). RNAcentral's name for it is "long non-coding RNA (BDIS_LNC003000)". Lineage: Eukaryota; Viridiplantae; Streptophyta; Magnoliopsida; Poales; Poaceae. The record is from RNAcentral.